Molecule: ribosomal RNA, 1343 nt
Filed under: uncultured bacterium
Lineage: Bacteria
Description: 16S ribosomal RNA
Rfam family: Bacterial small subunit ribosomal RNA
Source: RNAcentral
GACGAACGCUGGCGGCGUGCUUAACACAUGCAAGUCGAACGGAAAGGCCCUGCUUUUGUGGGGUGCUCGAGUGGCGAACGGGUGAGUAACACGUGAGUAACCUGCCCUUGACUUUGGGAUAACUUCAGGAAACUGGGGCUAAUACCGGAUAGGAGCUCCUGCUGCAUGGUGGGGGUUGGAAAGUUUCGGCGGUUGGGGAUGGACUCGCGGCUUAUCAGCUUGUUGGUGGGGUAGUGGCUUACCAAGGCUUUGACGGGUAGCCGGCCUGAGAGGGUGACCGGCUACAUUGGGACUGAGAUACGGCCCAGACUCCUACGGGAGGCAGCAGUGGGGAAUAUUGCACAAUGGGCGGAAGCCUGAUGCAGCAACGCCGCGUGCGGGAUGACGGCUUUCGGGUUGUAAACCGCUUUCGCCUGUGACGAAGCGUGAGUGACGGUAAUGGGUAAAGAAGCACCGGCUAACUACGUGCCAGCAGCCGCGGUGAUACGUAGGGUGCGAGCGUUGUCCGGAUUUAUUGGGCGUAAAGGGCUCGUAGGUGGUUGAUCGCGUCGGAAGUGUAAUCUUGGGGCUUAACCCUGAGCGUGCUUUCGAUACGGGUUGACUUGAGGAAGGUAGGGGAGAAUGGAAUUCCUGGUGGAGCGGUGGAAUGCGCAGAUAUCAGGAGGAACACCAGUGGCGAAGGCGGUUCUCUGGGCCUUUCCUGACGCUGAGGAGCGAAAGCGUGGGGAGCGAACAGGCUUAGAUACCCUGGUAGUCCACGCUGUAAACGGUGGGUACUAGGUGUGGGGUCCAUUCCACGGGUUCCGUGCCGUAGCUAACGCUUUAAGUACCCCGCCUGGGGAGUACGGCCGCAAGGCUAAAACUCAAAGGAAUUGACGGGGCCCCGCACAAGCGGCGGAGCAUGCGGAUUAAUUCGAUGCAACGCGUAGAACCUUACCUGGGUUUGACAUGGAUCGGGAGUGCUCAGAGAUGGGUGUGCCUCUUUUGGGGUCGGUUCACAGGUGGUGCAUGGCUGUCGUCAGCUCGUGUCGUGAGAUGUUGGGUUAAGUCCCGCAACGAGCGCAACCCUUGUUCACUGUUGCCAGCACGUUAUGGUGGGGACUCAGUGGAGACCGCCGGGGUCAACUCGGAGGAAGGUGGGGAUGACGUCAAGUCAUCAUGCCCCUUAUGUCCAGGGCUUCACGCAUGCUACAAUGGCUGGUACAGAGAGUGGCGAGCCUGUGAGGGUGAGCGAAUCUCGGAAAGCCGGUCUCAGUUCGGAUUGGGGUCUGCAACUCGACCUCAUGAAGUCGGAGUCGCUAGUAAUCGCAGAUCAGCAACGCUGCGGUGAAUACGUUCCCGGG